UGUGUGUGUGUAUGUGUGUGUGUAUGUGUGUGUGUAUAUACAUACAUAUACACACACAUACACACACACAUG
This 72-nucleotide microRNA precursor is filed under the name Marmota monax (woodchuck). The record is from RNAcentral. Lineage: Eukaryota; Metazoa; Chordata; Mammalia; Rodentia; Sciuridae.